GAUGAACGCUGGCGGCGUGCCUAAUACAUGCAAGUCGAACGCACAGCGAAAGGUGCUUGCACCUUUCAAGUGAGUGGCGAACGGGUGAGUAACACGUGGACAACCUGCCUCAAGGCUGGGGAUAACAUUUGGAAACAGAUGCUAAUACUGAAUAAAACUUAGUGUCGCAUGACACAAAGUUAAAAGGCGCUUUGGCGUCACCUAGAGAUGGAUCCGCGGUGCAUUAGUUAGUUGGUGGGGUAAAGGCCUACCAAGACAAUGAUGCAUAGCCGAGUUGAGAGACUGAUCGGCCACAUUGGGACUGAGACACGGCCCAAACUCCUACGGGAGGCUGCAGUAGGGAAUCUUCCACAAUGGGCGAAAGCCUGAUGGAGCAACGCCGCGUGUGUGAUGAGGGCUUUCGGGUCGUAAAGCACUGUUGUAUGGGAAGAACAGCUAGAAUAGGGAAUGAUUUUAGUUUGACGGUACCAUACCAGAAAGGGACGGCUAAAUACGUGCCAGCAGCCGCGGUAAUACGUAUGUCCCGAGCGUUAUCCGGAUUUAUUGGGCGUAAAGCGAGCGCAGACGGUUGAUUAAGUCUGAUGUGAAAGCCCGGAGCUCAACUCCGGAAUGGCAUUGGAAACUGGUUAACUUGAGUGCAGUAGAGGUAAGUGGAACUCCAUGUGUAGCGGUGGAAUGCGUAGAUAUAUGGAAGAACACCAGUGGCGAAGGCGGCUUACUGGACUGUAACUGACGUUGAGGCUCGAAAGUGUGGGUAGCAAACAGGAUUAGAUACCCUGGUAGUCCACACCGUAAACGAUGAACACUAGGUGUUAGGAGGUUUCCGCCUCUUAGUGCCGAAGCUAACGCAUUAAGUGUUCCGCCUGGGGAGUACGACCGCAAGGUUGAAACUCAAAGGAAUUGACGGGGACCCGCACAAGCGGUGGAGCAUGUGGUUUAAUUCGAAGCAACGCGAAGAACCUUACCAGGUCUUGACAUCCUUUGAAGCUUUUAGAGAUAGAAGUGUUCUCUUCGGAGACAAAGUGACAGGUGGUGCAUGGUCGUCGUCAGCUCGUGUCGUGAGAUGUUGGGUUAAGUCCCGCAACGAGCGCAACCCUUAUUGUUAGUUGCCAGCAUUCAGAUGGGCACUCUAGCGAGACUGCCGGUGACAAACCGGAGGAAGGCGGGGACGACGUCAGAUCAUCAUGCCCCUUAUGACCUGGGCUACACACGUGCUACAAUGGCGUAUACAACGAGUUGCCAACCCGCGAGGGUGAGCUAAUCUCUUAAAGUACGUCUCAGUUCGGAUUGUAGUCUGCAACUCGACUACAUGAAGUCGGAAUCGCUAGUAAUCGCGGAUCAGCACGCCGCGGUGAAUACGUUCCCGGGUCUUGUACACACCGCCCGUCACACCAUGGGAGUUUGUAAUGCCCAAAGCCGGUGGCCUAACCUUUUAGGAAGGAGCCGUCUAAGGCAGGACAGAUGACUGGGGUG
RNAcentral lists this ribosomal RNA (1473 nucleotides) under Leuconostoc pseudomesenteroides. RNAcentral describes it as "bacterial SSU rRNA". It matches the Rfam family "Bacterial small subunit ribosomal RNA". The record is from RNAcentral. Lineage: Bacteria; Bacillati; Bacillota; Bacilli; Lactobacillales; Lactobacillaceae.